Molecule: ribosomal RNA, 494 nt
Filed under: uncultured bacterium
Lineage: Bacteria
Description: partial 16S ribosomal RNA
Rfam family: Bacterial small subunit ribosomal RNA
Source: RNAcentral
GACGAACGCUGGCGGCGUGCUUUAGGCAUGCGAGUCGAACGCGAAAGCCCCUUCGGGGGUGAGUAUAGUGGCGAACGGGUGAGUAACACGUGGGUAACCUGCCCCUCGCAGGGGGAUAACCGGGGGAAACCCCGGCUAAUACCCCGUACGCUUGCUGGGGCGCAUGCUCCGGCAAGGAAAGGUAGCUUCGGCCAUCCGGCGAGGGAGGGGCCCGCGGCCCAUUAGCUAGUUGGUGGGGUAACGGCCCACCAAGGCGACGAUGGGUAGCUGGCCUGAGAGGGUGGUCAGCCACACUGGGACUGAGACACGGCCCAGACCCCUACGGGAGGCAGCAGCCAGGAAUCUUGCGCAAUGGGCGAAAGCCUGACGCAGCAACGCCGCGUGGGCGAUGAAGGCCUUCGGGUCGUAAAGCCCUGUUGUCGGGGACGAAGGGCGAAGGGUUAAUAGCCCCUAGCCUGACGGUACCCGACGAGGAAGCCCCGGCUAACUACGUG